Molecule: long non-coding RNA, 1969 nt
Organism: Xenopus tropicalis (tropical clawed frog)
Lineage: Eukaryota; Metazoa; Chordata; Amphibia; Anura; Pipidae
Exons: 4
Source: RefSeq, a predicted model, not a curated record
UGGGCGCAGUUGUUGCACAAACUAAAGCCAUUUAUUAGAGGUAAUAGUAUUUUCUUGUCUUUUAACCAGGAAUUGCAAAUGGAAGCUGAGGUGAGCAGCUCCAAGGUAAGCAGAAAGGGAAACUUUUCCAAACUUUGCAGUGUGUUUUGCUGUAAACUAUUUGUGAUUUUUUUUCUGCCUCAACCAGCAGGAAGAUCUAUAAUUAAAUUAACAGGUUUGUUUUAUCACAUUCUCUACUGAAAUCAGAUGAUCUUCUAAAAUUAUGUUUUUUAUAUUAACUAGGGAACCUUGGAGGUCUGUGAUGAACCUCAGCAGGAGACUUGCGAGGAGAGACCUCAGGAGUGUGGCGAUUACACCUGCCCGCCUGAGCUCUCUGAGCAAGAGGAUCCUCAGCCCAUCGAGGAGGAUCCGACAGCCUGUAAUGAGGCUGAAGCACCAACUAUGAGGCAGGAGAGCAUGGACACCAGCCCCUGCCACUUCCAGGUAAGCAGAAAAUAACAAAUGAAUGAAAAAUAUUUAUUUUAUCAUAUUCUCUUCUGAACUGAGCUGAUCUUAUAAAAUAAUAUUUUCUGUCUUAACCAGAACAUCAUGGAAGAAACAGACCCUCACCCCGACACCAGUGAGGUAACUAGCAUAGAGUUGUAUAGUGUCCCAAAUGAGCUUAGUUUCUCUUUAAGCCACAGGGUUCAUGAAUAAUCUCUGUAAAGCAUUAUGAUUAUAGCUUAUUUACCAACAUAGAUGCUAAUUGUAUUACUUUGAGCUUUACAGUAUUGGUUUGUUACCAUUUUUCUGUCUUAACCAGGCUGAAGCACCAACUAUGAGGCAGGAGAGCACGAACACCAGCCCCUGCCACCCUCAGCAGGAGACUUGCGAGGAGAGACCUCAGGAGUGUGGCGAUUACACCUGCCCGCCUGAGCUCUCUGAGCAAGAGGAUCUUCAGCCCAUCGAGGAGGAUCCGACAGCCUGUAAUGAGGUUUGUGCUUAAUUAUAUCUUCUGAAAGUCAUUUUGUUUUAAGAUUAAACAUACACUCACCUUUAGUGAUAACUUGCAUUGGAUGAUAGGCCUUUCAUCCCAUAAAGUAACAGCAACUUUAUAUUGAUUGAGCAGAACCGAUACAAUAAAAAGACAACCUUCAACCAUUGUAUUACUUUGAGCUUUACAGUAUUGGUUUGUGACCUUUUUUCUUUUUUAACCAGGCUGAAGAACCAAUUAUGACGCAGGAGAGCACGAACACCAGCCCCUGCCACCCUCAGCAGGAGACUUGCGAGGAGAGACCUCAGGAGUGUGGCAAUUACACCUGCCCGCCUGAGCUCUCUGAGCAAGAGGAUCCUCAGCCCAUCGAGGAGGAUCCAACAGCCUGUAAUGAGGUUUGUGCUUAAUUAUAUCUUCUGAAAGUCAUUUUGUUUCAAGAUUAAACAUACGGUCACCUUUAGUGAUAACUUGCAUUGGAUGAUAGGCCUUUCAUCCCAUAAAGUAACUGUUAUAUUGAUUGAGCGGAACCCUGGUGUUACCUCCAUCCCCAAGCUGGUGGUAGAGCCAAGGUUUCCCCAGUGACCCCCCCGAAUACAUGCAGUGGACUUUUGGCAAUAUUUUGACACUGAGCUGGAAUUGUAGAAAAUAAAAACCCUGCCUUUAAAAUGAUGAAUUUAUUACUACUUUGAAUUGACAGGGCCUCAGUUGUUGCUUACAAUUUUUAUUCCAGAUUAUUUUUUAUUGAGCAGAACCGAUACAAUAAAAAGACAACUUUCAACCAUUGUAUUACUUUGAGCUUUACAGUAUUGGUUUGUGACCUUUUUUCUGUCUUAACCAGGCUGAAGAACCAAUUAUGACGCAGGAGAGCACGAACACCAGCCCCUGCCACCCUCAGCAGGAGACUUGCGAGGAGAGACCUCAGGAGUGUGGCAAUUACACCUGCCCGCCUGAGCUCUCUGAGCAAGAGGAUCCUCAGCCCAUCGAGGAGCAUCCAAC